AGCUUCCUAGUUCUUACUGCAGGCUGUGUUCAUAUACCGACUGUAUAGAAAGAGGAAAAAGGUAAACCCCAUUGACACUCCAGCCUAACCCUGUAUGUAGUCAGUAUUUUGACUAGGGAAACACGA
Molecule: small nucleolar RNA, 126 nt
Organism: Nycticebus coucang (slow loris)
Lineage: Eukaryota; Metazoa; Chordata; Mammalia; Primates; Lorisidae
Product: small nucleolar RNA SNORA51
Exons: 1
Source: RefSeq, a predicted model, not a curated record